This 418-nucleotide ribosomal RNA is filed under the name uncultured Pedobacter sp. RNAcentral describes it as "bacterial SSU rRNA". It matches the Rfam family "Bacterial small subunit ribosomal RNA", at positions 496 to 916 of the family's 1533-position model. The record is from RNAcentral. Lineage: Bacteria; Pseudomonadati; Bacteroidota; Sphingobacteriia; Sphingobacteriales; Sphingobacteriaceae.
GCUAACUCCGUGCCGGCAUCCGCGGUAAUACGGAGGAUCCAAGCGUUAUCCGGAUUUAUUGGGUUUAAAGGGUGCGUAGGCGGCCUGUUAAGUCAGGGGUGAAAGACGGUAGCUCAACUAUCGCAGUGCCCUUGAUACUGAUGGGCUUGAAUACACUAGAGGUAGGCGGAAUGUGACAAGUAGCGGUGAAAUGCAUAGAUAUGUCACAGAACACCGAUUGCGAAGGCAGCUUACUAUGGUGUUAUUGACGCUGAGGCACGAAAGCGUGGGGAUCAAACAGGAUUAGAUACCCUGGUAGUCCACGCCCUAAACGAUGAAUACUCGCUGUUAGCGAUAUACAGUUAGCGGCUAAGCGAAAGCGUUAAGUAUUCCACCUGGGGAGUACGCCCGCAAGGGUGAAACUCAAAGGAAUUGACGG